CCCGACUCACUUCUGAGUGGACCACACUACAGCCGUUUUUCUGAGGACACAGACAGUGAGGGGAGUUGCUUUCACGCUUUCACACAACAGUUGACGGACCGUCUUUUCCGUUAAAAAUGCAGUCAAAAUGUGAAACAGCAAAGCCACCGAUCACAUCAUAGUCAAAGCCAUGGGAGACGACACGGCUCCUGGGCGAUCUGGCGAUACCGGGCACCGUGCAAACUAAAGUGUUCUUAUUACAUUUUGUUAUUCAAAUGUUUCGAUCAUUUGUAUGUUAUGUAACUGACAAUAAAUGUUUCGUAGUACUUUUA
This is a long non-coding RNA of Triplophysa dalaica, 311 nucleotides long. RefSeq lists it as uncharacterized. The transcript has 3 exons. Lineage: Eukaryota; Metazoa; Chordata; Actinopteri; Cypriniformes; Nemacheilidae. The record is from RefSeq and is a predicted model, not a curated record.